Molecule: ribosomal RNA, 374 nt
Filed under: uncultured eukaryote
Lineage: Eukaryota
Description: partial 18S ribosomal RNA
Rfam family: Eukaryotic small subunit ribosomal RNA
Source: RNAcentral
UAAUAGUGUAUAUUAAAGUUGUUGCAGUUAAAAAGCUCGUAGUUGAAUGUUGGUGUCGAACGAGCAGUCAGCUUCGGCUGUACUGCUCUCUCGACUCCUUCCUUCUGUGGACUACGUCGCACUUUACUGUGUGGCGCUAGGACGCAGAUCGUUUACUGUGAAAAAAUUAGAGUGUUCAAAGCAGGCCGUACGCUUGAAUACAUUAGCAUGGAAUAAUGGAAUAGGACGUCGGGCCUAUUUUGUUGGUUCUAGGACCGUCGUAAUGAUUAAUAGGGACAGUUGGGGCCGUUUAUAUUCCGUAGUCAGAGGUGAAAUUCUUGGAUUUACGGAAGAUAAACUACUGCGAAAGCAUUCGGCAAGGAUGUUUUCGUUAA